This 253-nucleotide ribosomal RNA is filed under the name uncultured bacterium. RNAcentral's name for it is "partial 16S ribosomal RNA". It matches the Rfam family "Bacterial small subunit ribosomal RNA", at positions 524 to 776 of the family's 1533-position model. The record is from RNAcentral.
UACAGAGGGGGCAAGCGUUAUUCGGAAUUAUUGGGCGUAAAGGGCGCGUAGGCGGCUUGGCAAGUGGAUGGUGAAAUCCCUCGGCUUAACCGAGGAACUGCCGUCCAAACUGCUUCGCUUGAGACCGGGAGAGGUGAGUGGAAUUCCCAGUGUAGCGGUGAAAUGCGUAGAUAUUGGGAGGAACACCAGUGGCGAAGGCGGGUUGCGGGGCUGAUACUGACGCUGAGGCGCGAAAGCCAGGGGAGCGAACGGG